AUUGAACGCUGGCGGCAUGCCUUACACAUGCAAGUCGAACGGCAGCGGGCCUUCGGGUGCCGGCGAGUGGCGAACGGGUGAGUAAUGCAUCGGAACGUGCCAUUGAGUGGGGGAUAACGUAGCGAAAGUUACGCUAAUACCGCAUAUUCUGUGAGCAGGAAAGCAGGGGACCGCAAGGCCUUGCGCUCUUUGAGCGGCCGAUGUCAGAUUAGCUAGUUGGUGAGGUAAAGGCUUACCAAGGCGACGAUCUGUAGCGGGUCUGAGAGGAUGAUCCGCCACACUGGAACUGAGACACGGUCCAGACUCCUACGGGAGGCAGCAGUGGGGAAUUUUGGACAAUGGGCGCAAGCCUGAUCCAGCCAUGCCGCGUGAGUGAAGAAGGCCUCGGUUGUAAG
RNAcentral lists this ribosomal RNA (395 nucleotides) under uncultured bacterium. Its description in RNAcentral is "bacterial SSU rRNA". It matches the Rfam family "Bacterial small subunit ribosomal RNA", at positions 30 to 429 of the family's 1533-position model. The record is from RNAcentral.